This 254-nucleotide ribosomal RNA is filed under the name uncultured bacterium. RNAcentral's name for it is "partial 16S ribosomal RNA". It matches the Rfam family "Bacterial small subunit ribosomal RNA", at positions 524 to 777 of the family's 1533-position model. The record is from RNAcentral.
UACAGAGGGGGCAAGCGUUGUUCGGAAUUACUGGGCGUAAAGGGCGCGUAGGCGGCCCGCUAAGUCGAACGUGAAAUCCCCGAGCUCAACUCGGGAACUGCGUCCGAUACUGGUGGGCUUGAAUCCGGGAGAGGGAUGCGGAAUUCCAGGUGUAGCGGUGAAAUGCGUAGAUAUCUGGAGGAACACCGGUGGCGAAGGCGGCAUCCUGGACCGGCAUUGACGCUGAGGCGCGAAAGCUAGGGGAGCAAACGGGG